CGAGGGGGAUAACAGUUGGAAACGACUGCUAAUACCGCAUAACGUCUACGGACCAAACGGGGCUUUUAGCUCCGGCGCAAAGAGAGGCCCAAGUGAGAUUAGCUAGUUGGUGAGGUAAAGGCUCACCAAGGCGACGAUCUCUAGCUGUUCUGAGAGGAAGAUCAGCCACACUGGGACUGAGACACGGCCCAGACUCCUACGGGAGGCAGCAGUGGGGAAUAUUGCACAAUGGGGGAAACCCUGACGCAGCCAUGCCGCGUGUGUGAAGAAGGCCUUCGGGUUGUAAAGCACUUUCAGUUGUGAGGAAAGGCUGGUAGUUAAUACCUGCCAGCUGUGACGUUAACAACAGAAGAAGCACCGGCUAACUCCGUGCCAGCAGCCGCGGUAAUACGGAGGGUGCGAGCGUUAAUCGGAAUUACUGGGCGUAAAGCGGACGCAGGCGGUUUGUUAAGCUAGAUGUGAAAGCCCCGGGCUCAACCUGGGAUGGUCAUUUAGAACUGGCAGACUAGAGUCUUGGAGAGGGGAGUGGAAUUCCAGGUGUAGCGGUGAAAUGCGUAGAUAUCUGG
RNAcentral lists this ribosomal RNA (566 nucleotides) under uncultured Alteromonas sp. RNAcentral describes it as "bacterial SSU rRNA". It matches the Rfam family "Bacterial small subunit ribosomal RNA", at positions 135 to 701 of the family's 1533-position model. Lineage: Bacteria; Pseudomonadati; Pseudomonadota; Gammaproteobacteria; Alteromonadales; Alteromonadaceae. The record is from RNAcentral.